Molecule: long non-coding RNA, 298 nt
Filed under: Amborella trichopoda
Lineage: Eukaryota; Viridiplantae; Streptophyta; Magnoliopsida; Amborellales; Amborellaceae
Description: long non-coding RNA (ATRI_LNC000608)
Source: RNAcentral
UGUGGUGAAGGUUGCCAGAGCCAGUGCAAACCUCCCGGUGGUGGUGGUGUUGCUUCUCUUAUAUCGCAGUCUCUGUUUGAUCAAAUGUUUAAGCACAGAAAUGAAAAUUCUUGCGAAGGAAGAGACAUUUACACUUACAAUGCUUUCAUCACUGCCGCCAAGUCAUUUCCUGCAUUCGGAACUACCGGUGAUACGACCACCCAAAAGAAAGAGAUCGCUGCUUUUCUUGCUCAGACUUCAAAGGAGACCACCGGUAUGCAAAUCUCUUCUCCCUCUCUGUCUCUAAAGCUAUAUUUCA